GAACGCGCGAGUCAAGGUCGCCGGCGGUCCGGCCUAGCCGUGAUCCGUCGGAGGAAAGUCCGAGCUCCAUAGGGCAGGGUGCCGGGUAACGCCCGGGCGGCGAAAGCCGAUGGAAAGUGCCACAGAAAGCAAACCGCCGAUGGCCCCCUCGGGGGAUCAGGCAAGGGUGAAAGGGUGCGGUAAGAGCGCACCGGGCUCCCGGCAACGGGGGUCGCAUGGCAAACCCCACCCGGAGCAAGGCCAAACAGGGACGAGGAGCGGCCCGCUCCGUCUGAGUCCCGGGUAGGCCGCACGAGGUCGGCAGCGAUGUCGGCCCCAGAGAAAUGACCUUGCCCGGCUCUGCCGGGACAGAACUCGGCUUAUUCCGCGCGUCUUCCC
RNAcentral lists this RNase P RNA (378 nucleotides) under Gemmatimonadota bacterium. RNAcentral describes it as "Gemmatimonadetes bacterium (freshwater metagenome) RNase P RNA component class A". It matches the Rfam family "Bacterial RNase P class A". Rfam says of the family: Ribonuclease P (RNase P) is a ubiquitous endoribonuclease, found in archaea, bacteria and eukarya as well as chloroplasts and mitochondria. The record is from RNAcentral. Lineage: Bacteria; Pseudomonadati; Gemmatimonadota.